UACGUAGGGUGCGAGCGUUAAUCGGAAUUACUGGGCGUAAAGCGUGCGCAGGCGGUUUGUUAAGACAGAUGUGAAAUCCCCGGGCUUAACCUGGGAACUGCAUUUGUGACUGGCAAGCUAGAGUAUGGCAGAGGGGGGUAGAAUUCCACGUGUAGCAGUGAAAUGCGUAGAGAUGUGGAGGAAUACCGAUGGCGAAGGCAGCCCCCUGGGCCAAUACGUGACGCUCAUGCACGAAAGCGUGGGGAGCAAACAGG
RNAcentral lists this ribosomal RNA (254 nucleotides) under uncultured bacterium. RNAcentral's name for it is "partial 16S ribosomal RNA". It matches the Rfam family "Bacterial small subunit ribosomal RNA", at positions 524 to 776 of the family's 1533-position model. The record is from RNAcentral.